UAGAAAUCAAAGAGGAGUUUAAAGAGAUCUUUGAGAUGAAAAUGCUAACUCUCUCACCAAUCAGCUCUGUGACCUUGGUCAAUUACAUAAUCUUUCAUAAGUAGAGUAAAAAGCAGAUUUUGUAAGAAUUAAAUAAUAUACUGUAGUGCAUGGCAUAUUUAAAACACUCAGUGAUGCAUGUUGUUUUGAGGGAGGAUGAAAUGUUGAGAACAGUUAAACAUGUUGGAGUAUGGGCAUGUGGAAGUAUUCAGGUAAAGGGGUUUGAACCCAAAGAAGUUAGUGUACAGGCUUAGGGAUGAGAAAGAAUCAUAAAAUUCACUAUUUUUGUGAAUUUUUUGAAGACUCUUUUGGGCACACAGAUGAAGAGAAAGCCAAUAUAAGAGGAAGUAGGAGAACUUCAAAAUAGUAUUUAGCUGAUAACAGUUCUUAGCAAUUUAUUUGCAAAACUUUCUGCCUCUGAAAGUAAUCUGGGUCAUACCUUUAGAAGUAGUUUGCUCAUUCAUGGCAUGGUUUAAGAUGCUAGUUCUGAUCAUUGGCGAUACCUGGUAUAUUUUGUUGAAAGUAUGCUAUUAAAGAAAAAUAAUGAGCUAUUUUUUUGUCUUCUCUGAAUCCUUAUGCAUCACGAAACAUAAUGUCAUUAAAGCAGCAACCACAUGGUGCUCACAUAGAGUUCUUUCUUUGAGAAAGUGAACCAUUAAGAGAAAGUAUAACUUUGCAUAGCCAGAGUCUAACAUACUGUCAUCACAUAAUUGAGCCUAAUGAAUAUUUUCUGAAUGCAUGAAUUAAUGAGUUAGAGUGAAUUAAUGAAUCUCCCAAGUUUUAAGUCCAUACUUUUAAUGAUCAGGGUCAAACAUAUUUAUUGAAGACUCUUUCAUACACAUCAUUGUCACUCUGCCAGUUAUGAAAUGUAUAAAAUAUUAUAUCACAAAAAUGAUCACUGUUAAAGAUGGUAAAAUUUUCAUAAAAAUGGUGCAUGCACUCCUUGCUGGUUGCAUUAUCAACUUAUAAUCCCUUUAGAAAGUAACAUGACCAUUUGUAGCAAAAAGUCAAAAAUUUAUUCAUACUCAUUGCUUUCAAAAUUCUUGUCUUAUGAAAACAUUUGAAGAGAAAUAAAACAAGAUCAACAUAAAAAUUAUUACAAUUGAUAAUACUAGCAAAAAGUUGGAGACAAAGUAAAAGUCCACAAAAUAAUUAUUUUAUAGAUUAUGAUACAUGAAAACAGUUUAAUAUUAUAAAGCUAUUAAAUUAUAAUUAGGUAGAAACAAUUAGGUAGAAACAUCAAGGUAUGUUUAUGAGACAAUACAUGUGAAAAUGAUAAAAUAUAAAAUACUAUGUAUGCCAUUAUUAUGAAACACUAUAAAUACAGUAUGUGGAUAUGGAUAAUAGGCAUAAAUAAAACCAGUAGUUGUGUCACGAUAAUAAGAUAACUGGUUUUCAUUUUAAAAACAUUUAUUUGUCUUAUAUAACCUUUCAAUACACUUCUAAAAAUUCUUAUUUUCUUUUAUAAAUAGAUACUGUGUAGUACCUUUUCUUUGGAUAAUUCUGUGUCUUUCUAGGGCCUGAGAUUCAUUAUGAGUUGCUCUCAGCAUUCCUGUACUGUAAUUUAGGAGUACAUAGAUAACUGGGUGAAAGGUGUAUAAUAUUGAUCUCUGGCUAUAUACUUUUAAGGUUGUUUGAAAAAAUAACUUCCCAAUAUACAUUCAAUUUCUUAUCUGGUUUGUUUUUCCUGAAAGCCAACUUAAGGUAGAAAGUCAAAGGCUUUUUAUCUUAUAGAUAUAAAUAUACAUGUAUCUUUGUUAAUCUGGAGGCAGCACAUUAAAAUAGAAAGACACACUUGGCUAACAGUUUGGAUCUGUUGCUUUUACAAAUGGGGGAACCCUGGGAGGCAGGUAAAUGAAGUGAUUUGGAUGGGGAUACAGUGCCAAUUAAUGGCAGAGCCAGGAUUAAAACGUACAGGUUUUGAGUAAGUUGAGAACUUUUCCACCCACCCCUCAUCCAGAAUGCUUUACCUAUCACGCGAACAUGAGUUGUCAGCUCCCUUCUAGCUUCAGAGUCCAUGAAGAUUUUUCUCUACACGCAGUGUUGCAUCUGUACUACAUUCCUAUGUCUGAGAAAAACAGGAGUUUCCAUCUCAGCCAGAAAUUGCUACUUUGUACGCAAUUGCACAGGUAAAUACUGGGUAAAUGCUGGCUCUUGGCAAGUCUUGUCUGCACAUUCUCACUGGUUGCAUCUCGUCAAAAUCAGGUGUUCUGCUUCUCAGCUCUGUAGCCGUCAUGUGUGUUCACUUAGCUACAGCAUUCCUAUCUGUCUUAGCCUCCUGUGUCUUCCCUCUCUACUAGCCACAGGCAGAAAUCCUGGUCACAGCAAGCUGCUCCCACUGGGGUAGCUUCCAAAAAUCCACAAAGAACAAAUUAGUGUUCCUGAUUUGCUUCAGAAACAAACAGCAAAGAAGCCUCUCCAACAUGCUUGAAAGAAACAAAUAAGAGAGAAAAAAUAGCUUCAAGGGAAAAAACCUACUGCUAUUCUUAAGGGGGCUCUAGGAGAAGACUUCAAAAAAGACAAAUGGUUGCUGAGGACUGUUUGCCCAUUAGCCUGUGGUGGGCCAAUUAGGCGGCACUGGAAGGGAGGAUGAGUGGGUAAAUUCAUUUGAGGGUUCUAUGGAGCCAGCCUUGAAACACAGAUGAUAAUAUCUAAUCUCUAAAUUGGUAUGUAGUUUGUCAAACCAGGCAUCUUUUAAGCAUGGCUUCCUCCUUUGCACCCAUUUGUUCUUGACCUUCUUAUUCCUUCCUUGGUGUUAAUAUGGUGACUAAGCCCUCUUGUUGUGUCUUGUCUCCUGUUUACAACCUUGUAGAAAAAUUUAUAAUUCUUCUAUAAUCAGAGCAAAAGGCAGUGAGUAAUUAAACUUUUUCGUCUCUUUGGAAAAAAUAUUUUAUUGCCUUUCUUCAAUAAUAUUCAUCAGAAACUUUGACAGUAAGUAUUAACUGAGCACCUACUAUGAAUUAGGCACUAGUGUAGCCAUCAUGGAAAGUCCAGAUCUGAUUAAUGCUUUGUCCUUGUCCUCAAGGAUUUCAUAGUGUGAAAAAGGGAUAGGAGACUUCCUGGGACCAGGUGCUGGUUUAGCCAGUCUUUCAAGCUACCUUUGUGUCAUUCCUCCUCUCACGGCUUCUGUGAGCCCAAGCAGUGUCUUUGGUGCAUGAGGCAACCAUCUAGGAAAGAAAAGCUCUAAAUCAGUGGCUCCCAAACUUGGGUCCUUGGAUCUGAAUCUCCAGAUGAACCUGUUGUGCUUUUGGAAACUAUCUAAUCUAGUAUGAAUCAGAGUAUCUUUGGGAAAGGUCUGUUUUAGAGAUUCUCUGUAGGUGAUUCUGAUACUUCAUUAGGUUUGGAAAUCACAGUGGAUGAGUCAAUAAUGGGCAAAAGGGAGUGAUGGUGGAAAUGGAUAAGGUAAAUUACUAUCUGCAGAUACCUACAAGUCAGUAUACACAAUGGUUAAGGAUUAUAACUUGUGGAGUCAUAUUGCUUGGGUUUAAAUUGUCUCUGUCACUUAGAGCUGUGAGAUUUGGGACAAGUUUUAAUCUCUAGCUAGUCUUUAGUUUCCACAGUUUGUUAAGUGAGAGAAAUAAUAUUACCUACCUCAGGGGAUUAUGAUGGGAUUAAAUGGGUUAGCCUCUUAAAACAGAACCACACUGAAGAUAAAGACAACAUGCCAUAAAUGUCACUACUGCUACUAUUGCUGCUGCUGCUACUGCUGCUGCUGCUAAUAUUAUUGCUACUGCUACUACUACUACUGGUUGUUGUUGUUUUUCUUCUUCCUAUUAUUAUUAUUAUUAUCAUGAGGAAGUUUAUGCUUAGAGUCUUAUACAAAAUAUAGGUGGGAAUUGAUAGGAGUUUAGCUCCUUUUAACCCCCCAAGUUAAAUAAAACAAAAUUCCAUUCCAUUCCAAGCUGGCUGCAGUGAUCUUGGGCUUUGUGGACCCAAUCCAUUUCAAGCUAGGGGCCGAGGCCCCUACCUCAGGGCUGCCUUGGGCACCACUCUCUUCCAGAAUUCUGACAUCAUAGUCCCACAGGGUCUGGUCUUUGCAGUUGAGUUUUCCUGCUGGUCUGGCUGUGACCUCAUUAACUUGGUCAAGAAGAGAACUGACAUUCUUCCUGUCAUUGAAGAUGCUUGGCGCAUAUACAGAUACCACACGAUUACUGCAAUGGUGGAUGUGAUCUUUGCAGAUCUCUGCCGAUGUGGCCCAGCCAAACCAGAUGGAGACUGUAGCCCUGAAUGGCCACACCUUUGUACACAGUGGAGAAUGCUUUGUCAUUCCCAUUAAGGCUAACUGCAUUGACUUCACACCCUCUGCAAAGGCCAUAUUUGCCUCUCAGGUGAAAGAGACACAGUAGUGGAACAUGAAGUCUCAGGAGGGGUUGACCUUAGAUCCUCAUGAAAAAGGCUACCCUGUGAUCAUAGAUGUGUAUGAAACACACCCCAAGGUGAACUGAAGCCCAGUACCAUCUGGAUUGGGAUAGAUUGUAUUAUUACUGUUACAUGCUACCAAUUGCUGCUAUUAGACUAGGUGAUUUUUGUACUUUUUAGAAACUUGUAGGCCGGUUUGUGUUUUCUGUGCCCAGUAAAUGGCUAAUACCUGGCCACCACACUCUCCACUACAAUAUGCUACCACACAUUUUAUUGUUUUUCCAUUUGAAUAUGUCAGAGGUGUUAGGAACAACAGGAAUUAUAAGGCAUAGAAGAAAUUUUUAAAUGUCUUUGUCUAUUUCUCAUCAUGGCCCUCAGUGGGCCCCAAAGUAAUAUUCAUGUGUAAAUAUAUUUGAUUCAGUCAGUAUUCUUUCUCUUAAUCACUGCUCAGAAGUUGGCGUGGACUGCUAGGAAGCACUCUGGCAUCAGAUUUAGAGAGUGAGUUCUCAACAAAGGGCUGCUCCUGAUCUCCAUAGCAGUCAUGGGCAUGCCAUGUAAUAUCUCUGGGUUUAUUAUCGUCAUUUAUAAAUGAGAUUGGGUUGAUAUCAAGGGUUACCAAAAGAGCAUUUCCCUUUAUCCUCAUGGUUUAAUUCACUCUGCUUCUGGUCCAAAUUUCAGUAGCAAUAAGGCAAAAAUACCUACCAAUAAGGAGGAUAAUUAAUUUCAGGAUGCUGAUUGGGCCACAGUCCUAACAUGUGUAUUUCUCCUUUUCACCUGCUUGUUCUUUGAUAUACUCACUGUCUUCUGUGGUAGCUGAGCCCAAGACCCUUCUAUUAUUGCUGACAGGUAGGAUUAUCUCAUGUUUCCCAAAGUAUCCUCUGUAUAGAGUAUUAAUUCAAUAAAAUAUUAAUAAAUCCAUCAGGAAAAUAUUUCCAUGAUAAAAAAGAUUCAGAAAUAAUAUAUUAAACAAAUUUAAACUGAUUUAUUUUUUUGAUCAUCAAAACCUGGAAUAUUCAAAAGUAUACUGUGAAUUAUCAGUAGGAGAAUAAAGUAAAAAAUACUUACAAAAUAUUUUGAUUAUGAAAUCCACACCUUCAAGAAAUAUCCCAAGUGGAGUUCCUACUGUGGUGCAGUGGGUUAAGAAUCAGACUGUAGCAGCUCAGGUCACUGUAGAGGUGCAGGUUUGAUCCCUGGCCCAGCUCAGUGGUUAAAGGAUUUAGUAUUGCUGUAGUUGUGGCAUAAGUAGCAGCCAUGGCUUAGAUUCAGUCCCUGGCCUGGGAACUUUCAUAUGCUGUGGGUGAGGGCAUAAAAUGAAAAAAAGGGAGGGAGUUCCCGUCGUGGCUCAGUGGUUAACAAAUCCGACUAGGAACCAUGGGUUUGUGGGUUCGAUCCCUGGCCUUGCUCAGUGGGCUAAAGAUCUGGCAUUGCCGUGAACUGUGGUGUAGGUUACAGAUGCGGUUUGGAUCCUACAUUGCUGUGGCUCUGGUGUAGGCCAGUGGCUACAGCUCUGAUUAGACCCCUUGCCUGGGUACCUCCAUAUGCCACAGGAGUGGCCCAAGAAAUGGCAAAAAGAC
RNAcentral lists this long non-coding RNA (5972 nucleotides) under Sus scrofa (pig). Its description in RNAcentral is "lncRNA (ENSSSCG00000058338.1)". Lineage: Eukaryota; Metazoa; Chordata; Mammalia; Artiodactyla; Suidae. The record is from RNAcentral.